GAUGAACGCUGGCGGCGUGCCUAAUACAUGCAAGUCGAGCGAACAGACGAGGAGCUUGCUCCUCUGACGUUAGCGGCGGACGGGUGAGUAACACGUGGAUAACCUACCUAUAAGACUGGGAUAACUUCGGGAAACCGGAGCUAAUACCGGAUAAUAUAUUGAACCGCAGGGUUCAAUAGUGAAAGACGGUGUUGCUGUCACUUCUAGAUGGAUCCGCGCCGCAUUAGCUAGUUGGUAAGGUAACGGCUUACCAAGGCGACGAUGCGUAGCCGACCUGAGAGGGUGAUCGGCCACCUUGGAACUGAGACACGGUCCAGGCUCCUACGGGAGGCAGCAGUAGGGAAUCUUCCGCAAUGGGCGAAAGCCUGACGGAGCAACGCCGCGUGAGUGAUGAAGGUCUUCGGAUCGUAAAACUCUGUUAUUAGGGAAGAACAAAUGUGUAAGUAACUAUGCACGUCUUGACGGUACCUAAUCAGAAAGCCACGGCUAACUACGUG
This 497-nucleotide ribosomal RNA is filed under the name uncultured bacterium. RNAcentral's name for it is "partial 16S ribosomal RNA". It matches the Rfam family "Bacterial small subunit ribosomal RNA", at positions 28 to 507 of the family's 1533-position model. The record is from RNAcentral.